RNAcentral lists this long non-coding RNA (1578 nucleotides) under Lupinus angustifolius (narrow-leaved blue lupine). RNAcentral describes it as "long non-coding RNA (LANG_LNC000865)". Lineage: Eukaryota; Viridiplantae; Streptophyta; Magnoliopsida; Fabales; Fabaceae. The record is from RNAcentral.
GCCAAAUAAUAAUUGUUUUUGUUGAACUAAAAGGGGAUAGACCAACCAUUGGAAUGUUCUCAAUAUAUGAAUAUAAUGAUUCUUGCUAACAACAAACUAAUCACACCAUAUUAUUGAAUAAAUACAUCACGGAAAAUUUUAAACUAUAAAGGCAAACCAACAAAUUAAAAAGCUUCCAUUUAAUGGAUGGAUUUUUGAUAUACAAAAUGAUAAAGAUAAAUGGUAUUGUUCUUCUUUAAGCAACAAAAAAUACAACAAACACAAUAGGAAAUUAUGAUGAUAAACACCAAUAUAAGGCGUGAUUCAAUCCAAGCACUCAUCCAAUGCUAAGUUGCGACAAAAACAAGUAUAACUGCAAGAGAAGAGAAAAAGUCAGAACAAAAAGAUUUGGUAUGCGUGGGUGUAAAAUAAUAGUGUAUUAUUUAUGUCUUAUCAAUAUAAAAGUUUACAUACAAUUAAUAAAUCAUUCAUUUAUAAAUUUAAAAGUGAUUAAUGAUCAGAUGAUGAAUGAUGAAUAUUACAGCGAUAUUAUGAAAAUCUUUUAAACUUUCUGUCCAUAUAUCUUUUUUUAUGGAAAGUAAUAUAGGUAGAUGAUAGAGAUUUUGGUUAUGAACUAACCAUCUUCUCCACAAGUUACCACACAAUCUUCUGGUUUUAUGUGAAACCCUACGUUGGGGGUAUUCUGGAGGACCACCAUCCUUAGAGGGAUAAUAAUCUACAGGUGGUGGGGCACUAACAUUUGUAGCUGUAGGGUGUGCCUGGCCUGGUGGUGGAUGUGACCCAGCUAUAUCAAAAUAUCAUAUCAUUAAUCCAAGUUAGAAAGCUUUCACAAUUCAUAUGGAAAUAAGAGUAAUUUCAGCUUAAACUUUUAAAUCAAAACCAAACCAAUUACUUACACAUUUAUGUUAAAAAAGUAAAAUAUAUUAUAAAAAAUAUAUGCAUUGAAUGAGUUUUAUACAUUGUUAUUACAUCAUCGAUCAUUCAUAUUUAAUUAUCAUUGACUAUUUAAAAAAAAUAAUUCAAAUAAAUAGUGAUGAUACAAUGACUGUUUGUGUAUAAAUUUUUACACUGACAAUAUAUAAAUAUUAUACUUAUUAUAAAAACAUGCUAAUGUUUAAGUAAUGAUUUUUUCCUACCAAAUUUAUGUGACACUGUAUUUAAUAUCAUUUGUCCUUAUCUCUAUAUAUCACCUAUUAUAUAUCUUCAUUGCAUCUACAUUUUUAUUAAGAAGUUCAUGAAAAGAAGAGGAAACAUUGAACACAAUGCAGAAUCCAAGGUUUUGGUGUUAAUUAAGCAUUUCCGUAAAUUUCCAUUUGAUCUAAGAAGACAUUCACAUAGGAAACCAUACUUUGUUGUUACUAGAAAGAAUAUUUUGGUUACAUUUUAUUGAAAGAUAAGAUGAUAAGAAAAACUCACCAUGGACUUCUUGCUGAUUGUUAACGUGGCUAGUUGUGUUUGAUGGACUAGCUCUUUUCAUUUUUACUUGAAGGAGUAUGUGUUUAGAAACAUGGAAGAAAAUAUAUGUAUAUAUAGGUUCAUGGUAGGGUUUAAUGCAUAAAUUAGAAGGUUGGAAUGUGG